This 122-nucleotide non-coding RNA is filed under the name Dechloromonas agitata. Its description in RNAcentral is "radC RNA". It matches the Rfam family "radC RNA", at positions 11 to 141 of the family's 149-position model. The record is from RNAcentral. Lineage: Bacteria; Pseudomonadati; Pseudomonadota; Betaproteobacteria; Rhodocyclales; Azonexaceae.
UCAUGUGUGGCUGACGUUGUCAGCGCCAUGCCAGCAGUUCGGGUCUUGAGGCUGCCGCGGUUUCACCGCGCGACCCACCAGUCCGCUUCGCAUCGCCCCGCGGACGAGCGUCCCCCAUGACG